UAUGGGUAAAGUGGCACAAAAUGACCACCCGU
RNAcentral lists this non-coding RNA (32 nucleotides) under Mus musculus (house mouse). Lineage: Eukaryota; Metazoa; Chordata; Mammalia; Rodentia; Muridae. The record is from RNAcentral.